This 3576-nucleotide small RNA is filed under the name Pan troglodytes (chimpanzee). RNAcentral describes it as "retained intron". The record is from RNAcentral. Lineage: Eukaryota; Metazoa; Chordata; Mammalia; Primates; Hominidae.
AUGGCGGAUCCAGCAGCCCCCACGCCCGCAGCUCCAGCUCCCGCCCAGGCCCCGGCUCCAGCCCCGGAGGCAGUCCCGGCCCCAGCCGCAGCCCCCGUCCCGGCGCCCGCCUCGGACUCGGCCUCCGGGCCGUCCUCGGACUCCGGCCCAGAAGCCGGCUCGCAGCGCCUGCUGUUUUCUCACGACCUGGUGUCGGGCCGUUACCGUGGCUCCGUGCACUUCGGGCUGGUGCGCCUCAUCCACGGCGAGGACUCGGACUCGGAGGGCGAGGAGGAGGGCCGCGGGAGCUCGGGGUGCUCCGAGGCCGGGGGCGCGGGCCACGAGGAGGGCCGGGCCAGCCCGCUGCGCCGCGGCUACGUGCGCGUCCAGUGGUACCCGGAGGGCGUCAAGCAGCAUGUGAAGGAGACCAAGCUGAAACUAGAGGACCGUUCUGUGGUGCCCCGAGAUGUGGUCCGGCACAUGCGAUCCACCGACAGUCAGUGUGGCACGGUGAUCGACGUCAACAUCGACUGUGCCGUCAAGCUCAUCGGCACCAACUGCAUCAUCUAUCCCGUCAACAGCAAGGACCUGCAGCACAUCUGGCCCUUCAUGUAUGGGGACUACAUUGCCUAUGACUGCUGGCUGGGGAAGGUCUACGACUUGAAGAACCAGAUCAUCCUGAAGCUAUCCAACGGCGCCAGGUGCUCCAUGAACACGGAAGAUGGCGCCAAGCUCUACGACGUCUGCCCGCACGUCAGCGACUCGGGUCUCUUCUUUGAUGAUUCCUAUGGCUUCUACCCAGGCCAGGUGCUCAUUGGCCCUGCCAAGAUCUUCUCCAGCGUCCAGUGGCUGUCAGGUGUCAAGCCCGUGCUCAGCACCAAGAGCAAGUUCCGAGUGGUGGUGGAAGAGGUGCAGGUUGUAGAGUUGAAAGUUACAUGGAUUACCAAGAGUUUCUGUCCAGGGGGCACAGACAGCGUCAGCCCCCCACCCUCUGUCAUCACCCAGGAAAACCUAGGCAGGGUGAAGCGUCUCGGAUGCUUUGACCAUGCUCAGCGGCAGCUUGGGGAGCGCUGUCUGUAUGUCUUCCCAGCCAAGGUAGAGCCAGCCAAGAUUGCCUGGGAAUGUCCAGAAAAAAACUGCGCCCAGGGGGAGGGCUCUAUGGCCAAGAAGGUGAAGCGCCUGUUGAAGAAGCAGGUUGUGCGGAUCAUGUCAUGCUCCCCAGACACCCAGUGUUCCCGGGACCAUUCCAUGGAAGACCCAGACAAGAAGGGGGAAUCCAAAACCAAGAGCGAAGCGGAGUCCGCCAGCCCUGAGGAGACGCCCGAUGGCUCUGCCAGUCCAGUGGAGAUGCAGGAUGAGGGUGCAGAGGAGCCCCACGAAGCAGGAGAGCAGCUGCCCCCAUUCCUGCUAAAAGAAGGCAGAGAUGACAGGCUGCACUCGGCAGAGCAGGACGCAGAUGAUGAGGCUGCUGACGACACGGACGACACCAGUUCGGUGACCUCCUCUGCCAGCUCCACCACUUCCUCCCAGAGUGGCAGCGGCACGAGUCGCAAAAAGAGCAUCCCCUUGUCCAUCAAGAACUUAAAGCGCAAACACAAGAGGAAGAAGAAUAAAAUCACUCGAGACUUCAAGCCAGGGGACAGGGUGGCAGUGGAGGUGGUGACCACGAUGACCUCAGCCGACGUGAUGUGGCAGGAUGGCUCCGUGGAAUGCAACAUCCGCUCCAACGACCUCUUCCCUGUGCACCACCUGGACAACAACGAGUUCUGCCCCGGAGACUUCGUGGUAGAUAAACGAGUCCAGAGCUGUCCAGACCCUGCUGUCUAUGGUGUGGUACAGUCUGGGGACCACAUCGGCCGUACCUGCAUGGUGAAGUGGUUCAAGCUGAGGCCGAGUGGGGACGACGUGGAGCUGAUUGGAGAAGAGGAAGAUGUGAGUGUUUACGACAUUGCUGACCACCCUGACUUUAGGUUCCGUACAACUGACAUCGUCAUCCGCAUCGGCAAUACUGAGGAUGGGGCUCCUCACAAGGAGGAUGAGCCAUCGGUGGGCCAGGUGGCCCGUGUGGACGUCAGCAGCAAGGUGGAGGUGGUGUGGGCUGACAACUCAAAGACCAUCAUCCUGCCCCAGCACUUGUACAACAUCGAGUCUGAGAUUGAGGAGUCAGACUACGAUUCGGUAGAAGGCAGCACCAGCGGGGCAUCCUCGGAUGAAUGGGAAGAUGAUAGUGACAGCUGGGAGACGGACAAUGGGCUGGUGGAGGACGAACACCCCAAGAUAGAGGAGCCCCCCAUCCCACCCCUGGAGCAGCCGGUGGCCCCUGAGGAGGACAAGGGAGUGGUGAUCAGUGAAGAGGCAGCCACAGCUGCCGUCCAGGGGGCUGUGGCCAUGGCUGCCCCCAUGGCCGGGCUGAUGGAGAAGGCUGGCAAGGACGGGCCACCCAAGAGCUUCCGGGAGUUGAAAGAGGCCAUCAAGAUCCUGGAGAGCCUCAAGAACAUGACUGUGGAGCAGCUGCUGACGGGCUCGCCCACCUCUCCGACUGUGGAGCCUGAGAAGCCAACUCGGGAGAAGAAGUUUCUGGAUGACAUCAAGAAGCUACAGGAAAACCUCAAGAAGACCCUGGACAAUGUGGCCAUUGUAGAGGAGGAGAAGAUGGAAGCAGUGCCCGACGUAGAGCGCAAGGAGGACAAGCCCGAGGGGCAGUCACCUGUGAAGGUUGAGUGGCCCAGCGAAACCCCGGUGCUCUGCCAGCAGUGUGGCGGCAAGCCUGGCGUCACCUUCACCAGCGCCAAGGGCGAGGUCUUCUCCGUACUGGAGUUUGCACCCUGUGAGUCAGCCCUUGCCUGGUCUUUGCCUUCCCCCGCCUUCUCGGGGCUCCUGUUUGUGUCACCAGAUCUGGGUGCAGGGUGGUUAGUCCCCUCGCCAGACCCCAGCUACUGCCCCAGGGCAAACCAUUUCCCUGUGUGGUCACAGUGCUGAGGCCAGCAGCGGCGAGUGGGAAGUCUGUGGGUGUGCUCACCUGUCCAGCCAGGUUGGCAGAUGGAGCUCCAGGGCCUCUCCAUGAGGGACUGACUAUUCUCUUCCCCCCUCUAGCAAAUCAUUCUUUUAAGAAAAUUGAGUUCCAGCCUCCAGAAGCCAAGAAGUUCUUCAGCACAGUGCGGAAGGAGAUGGCGCUGCUGGCUACCUCACUGCCUGAGGGCAUCAUGGUCAAGACUUUUGAAGAUAGAAUGGCAAGUAGGCUUGGCAUGGGCAGGUGCAGAUGUGCUGUGUGGGCACCCAGUGCCCAAGAGGCCACCAACCUUGGGUCCCCAAACCUCCGGGGCUGACUGGCACCUGCGAGGACACUCACCCACCCACCUUUUACAGGGGCGGUCACAGGCUCAGUCAGGUGAGGGCUGACUCAGCCGUGUGUCCAGGCCAGAUGGUUCUUUCUUUCCUCCCUCCUUUAAAAAAUUACUUUCUCGGCUGGGCGCGGUGGCUCACACCUGUAAUCCCAGCACUUUGGGAGGCCGAGGUGGGUGGAUCAUGAGGUCAGGAGAUCGAGACCAUCCUGGCUAACACAGUGAAACCCCGUCUCCACUAAAAAUAAAUAAAUAA